RNAcentral lists this ribosomal RNA (834 nucleotides) under Sordariomycetes sp. RNAcentral's name for it is "eukaryotic LSU rRNA". The stretch from base 360 to 834 matches the Rfam family "Eukaryotic large subunit ribosomal RNA", at positions 1 to 479 of the family's 3401-position model. Lineage: Eukaryota; Fungi; Ascomycota; Sordariomycetes. The record is from RNAcentral.
UCUGAGCGUACUUUUAAAUAAGUCAAAACUUUCAACAACGGAUCUCUUGGUUCUGGCAUCGAUGAAGAACGCAGCGAAAUGCGAUAAGUAAUGUGAAUUGCAGAAUUCAGUGAAUCAUCGAAUCUUUGAACGCACAUUGCGCCCAUUAGUACUCUAGUGGGCAUGCCUGUUCGAGCGUCAUUACGACCCUUAAGCCUAGCUUAGUAUUGGGAACCUACGUGCGGCAGCUACCCUGUAGCUACCCUGUAGCUCCUUAAAGACAACGGCGGAGACGUGGAGUCCUCUGAGCUUAGUAAACUUUUUCUAGCUUCUGAAGGCGCCGCGGCCCCUGCCGUAAAACCCCCCAACUCUUUAGUGGUUGACCUCGGAUCAGGUAGGAAUACCCGCUGAACUUAAGCAUAUCAAUAAGCGGAGGAAAAGAAACCAACAGGGAUUGCCUUAGUAACGGCGAGUGAAGCGGCAACAGCUCAAAUUUGAAAGCUGGCCUUCGGGUCCGCGUUGUAAUUUGUAGAGGAUGCUUUUGGUUAGGUGCCUUACGAGUUCCCUGGAACGGGACGCCUUAGAGGGUGAGAGCCCCGUACGUUUGGUGACCGAGCCUCUGUAAAGCUCCUUCGACGAGUCGAGUAGUUUGGGAAUGCUGCUCUAAAUGGGAGGUAAAUUUCUUCUAAAGCUAAAUACCGGCCAGAGACCGAUAGCGCACAAGUAGAGUGAUCGAAAGAUGAAAAGCACUUUGAAAAGAGGGUUAAAUAGCACGUGAAAUUGUUGAAAGGGAAGCGUUUAUGACCAGACUUUUUCCUGGCGGAUCAUCCGGUGUUCUCACCGGUGCACUUCGCC